GAGCAAAAAAUAUAUAAAUAAAUAAUAAAUAAAAAACCUUAAACACAAUCAGCUAAAGGCCCAUUAAUUUCUUACACCCAAUCCACUAAAGGCCCAUUGAUUUCUUUUUUAUUUGGAAAACUAUGGACGGCAACCCUGAGAGGCGGAAUACCCUUUUCUUACUGAGAUCACGAACACUACACUAGAGCUUUCCCUUUAGGGCGUCAGUUGUCACUUCCAAUUAUGGCCUCAGCGAUAAAGAAGAGGGGAGCAGCGACGAAGAAGAGGGGAUCAGCGACACGAGUGGCAACCAGAGGGGAGUGAUCAGUGAACGACGAAGACCAGCGACCGAUGAAGCAGCGACCGGCGAGUAGCGGCUGGCGAUCAGCGACGAAGGCCAGCGAACAGUUCUACCAACGAGCGAGCAAGGACGAAGGAUUACUACUCUCUAUUUCUUGCACAACAAAGAUGUGAAGCACAGCGAUGACCAAGACUCAAGCCAAGUUGUAUAGAAAUAAAUGUUAUGAAUUACUUAGCUAAUUACAAGGGAUGGUGUUAAUUUGUUGGGAUUUUUGUAUGCCAAUUGGAUUGUGAAUAUUUUAUAUUGAAUAAUAUGUAUUGAUUAAUUCAUAAGA
This is a long non-coding RNA of Cornus florida, 614 nucleotides long. RefSeq lists it as uncharacterized. The transcript has 2 exons. Lineage: Eukaryota; Viridiplantae; Streptophyta; Magnoliopsida; Cornales; Cornaceae. The record is from RefSeq and is a predicted model, not a curated record.